RNAcentral lists this unclassified non-coding RNA (343 nucleotides) under soil metagenome. RNAcentral describes it as "partial contains 5.8S ribosomal RNA, internal transcribed spacer 2, and large subunit ribosomal RNA". The stretch from base 1 to 120 matches the Rfam family "5.8S ribosomal RNA", at positions 35 to 154 of the family's 154-position model. The record is from RNAcentral.
GAUGAAGAACGUAGCGAAAUGCGAUAAGUAAUGUGAAUUGCAGAAUUCAGUGAAUCAUCGAAUCUUUGAACGCACAUUGCGCCCGCUAGUAUUCUGGCGGGCAUGCCUGUCCGAGCGUCAUUUCAACCCUCAAGCCCCCGGGCUUGGUGUUGGGGAUCGGCGAGCCUCCGCGCCCGCCGUCCCCUAAAUCUAGUGGCGGUCUCGCUGUAGCUUCCUCUGAGUAGUAGCACACCUCGCACUGGGAAACAGCGCGGCCACGCCGUUAAACCCCCAACUUCUGAACGUUUGACCUCGGAUCAGGUAGGAAUACCCGCUGAACUUAAGCAUAUCAAUAAGCGGAGGA